Molecule: ribosomal RNA, 469 nt
Filed under: uncultured bacterium
Lineage: Bacteria
Description: bacterial SSU rRNA
Rfam family: Bacterial small subunit ribosomal RNA
Source: RNAcentral
AGAGCUUUGAUCCUGGCUCAAACGAACGCUGGCGGCAGGCUUAACACAUGCAAGCUCGAACGCACCGCAAGGUGAGUGGCAGACGGGUGAGUAACGCGUGGGAACCUUCCCUUUGGUACGGAAUAACUUCGGGAAACCGAAGCUAAUACCGUAUAUCUCCUGCGGGAGAAAGAUUUAUCGCCAAAGGAUGGGCCCGCGUUGGAUUAGCUAGUUGGUGUGGUAAUGGCGCACCAAGGCGACGAUCCAUAGCUGGUCUGAGAGGAUGAUCAGCCACACUGGGACUGAGACACGGCCCAGACUCCUACGGGAGGCAGCAGUGGGGAAUAUUGGACAAUGGGGGCAACCCUGAUCCAGCCAUGCCGCGUGAGUGAAGAAGGCCUUAGGGUUGUAAAGCUCUUUUGGCGGGGACGAUAAUGACGGUACCCGCAGAAUAAGCCCCGGCUAACUUCGUGCCAGCAGCCGCGGUAAU